UAUCAGAUUGGUGCAAAAGUAAUUGUGGUUUUUGCCAUAAAAGUAGUGGCAAAAACCUCAAUUGCUCUCGUACCAGCCUAAUA
Macaca nemestrina (pig-tailed macaque) is the source of this 83-nucleotide microRNA precursor. The record is from Ensembl. Lineage: Eukaryota; Metazoa; Chordata; Mammalia; Primates; Cercopithecidae.